This 446-nucleotide ribosomal RNA is filed under the name uncultured bacterium. RNAcentral describes it as "bacterial SSU rRNA". It matches the Rfam family "Bacterial small subunit ribosomal RNA", at positions 329 to 792 of the family's 1533-position model. The record is from RNAcentral.
CUCCAGACUCCUACGGGAGGCAGCAGUGGGGGAUAUUGGACAAUGGGGGAAACCCUGAUCCAGCGAUGCCGCGUGAGGGAAGAAGGUUUUCGGAUUGUAAACCUCUGUGGACAGGGACGAUAAUGACGGUACCUGUCAAGAAAGCCACGGCUAACUACGUGCCAGCAGCCGCGGUAAUACGUAGGGGGCGAGCGUUAUCCGGAUUUACUGGGUGUAAAGGGAGCGUAGACGGUUCUGCAAGUCUGAAGUGAAAGCCCGUGGCUUAACCGCGGAACGGCUUUGGAAACUGUGGAACUGGAGUGCUGGAGAGGCAAGCGGAAUUCCUAGUGUAGCGGUGAAAUGCGUAGAUAUUAGGAGGAACACCAGUGGCGAAGGCGGCUUGCUGGACAGUAACUGACGUUGAGGCUCGAAAGCGUGGGGAGCAAACAGGAUUAGAUACCCCUGUA